UGCCGGAUAGCUCAGUUGGCAGAGCGACUGACUCUGGAUCAGUAGGUCCUAGGUUCGAACCCUAGUCCGGCAGCCA
This 76-nucleotide transfer RNA is filed under the name Armatimonadota bacterium. RNAcentral describes it as "tRNA-Gln". It matches the Rfam family "tRNA". From Rfam's summary of the family: Transfer RNA (tRNA) molecules are approximately 80 nucleotides in length. Their secondary structure includes four short double-helical elements and three loops (D, anti-codon, and T loops). The record is from RNAcentral. Lineage: Bacteria; Bacillati; Armatimonadota.